AUUGAACGCUGGCGGCAGGCCUAACACAUGCAAGUCGAGCGGGGUUUUCGGACCUAGCGGCGGACGGGUGAGUAAUGCGUAGGAAGCUACCCGAUAGAGGGGGAUACCAGUUGGAAACGACUGUUAAUACCGCAUAAUGUCUACGGACCAAAGUGUGGGACCUUCGGGCCACAUGCUAUCGGAUGCGCCUACGUGGGAUUAGCUAGUUGGUGAGGUAAUGGCUCACCAAGGCGACGAUCCCUAGCUGGUUUGAGAGGAUGAUCAGCCACACUGGAGCUGAGUGACGGUCCACACUCCUACGGGAGGCAGCAGUGGGUAAUAUUGGACAAUGGGCGCAAGCCUGAUCCAGCCAUGCCGCGUGUGUGAAGAAGGCCUUCGGGUUGUAAAGCACUUUCAGUAGGGAGGAAGCGUUGUGUGUUAAUAGUACACAGCGUUGACGUUACCUACAGAAGAAGCACCGGCUAACUCUGUGCCAGCCGCCGCCGUAA
Molecule: ribosomal RNA, 488 nt
Filed under: uncultured bacterium
Lineage: Bacteria
Description: partial 16S ribosomal RNA
Rfam family: Bacterial small subunit ribosomal RNA
Source: RNAcentral